This is a non-coding RNA of Labrus bergylta (ballan wrasse), 288 nucleotides long. NCBI's taxonomy places the organism in Eukaryota, Metazoa, Chordata, Actinopteri, Labriformes, Labridae. The record is from RefSeq and is a predicted model, not a curated record.
AUGUUGAUGAUCCUAAAUUAUGUAUAAAUGUGAAACGCACGAGAUCUACACACAGACGCCGUAGACCGAGCAGUGAAUAUGGUGGUCAUGAAGUUUUUGUGAAAUUGGGGCUGAAGAUUGUAACAAAUAUGUUUACCAGGAUGCCUUCAUGUUUGAACUUCAAGGGGACAAUAUACGGUGAAAACGAUGAUCUUGCCAUUUGCAAAUUUCCUGGACCUACGACGACCUCUGAAUUAAUCAAGUCGAUGAUCCGCACUUUCUUCCCUGAAACUUGGAUAUGGAAACUGG